RNAcentral lists this ribosomal RNA (484 nucleotides) under uncultured bacterium. RNAcentral describes it as "partial 16S ribosomal RNA". It matches the Rfam family "Bacterial small subunit ribosomal RNA", at positions 30 to 507 of the family's 1533-position model. The record is from RNAcentral.
AUUGAACGCUGGCGGUAGGCCUAACACAUGCAAGUCGAGCGGCAGAACGGUGCUUGCUCCUUGUUACAGCGGCCGACGGGCGGGUGAGGCCUAAGAACCUCCCUGGCUGCGGGUGCUAACGUGCUGAAAUGGGCACUAUUACGCCAUUCCUGCUGACGGCCUAAGGGGGGGAGCUUCGGAUCUUCGGACCUUAGAUGAUUCGAUGUCGGAUUAGCUAGUUGGCGGGGUAAAGGCCUACCAAGGCGACGAUCCGUAGCUGGUCUGAGAGGAUGAUCAGUCACACUGGAACUGAGACACGGUCCAGACUCCUACGGGAGGCAGCAGUGGGGAAUAUUGGACAAUGGGCGAAAGCCUGAUCCAGCCAUGCCGCGUGGGUGAAGAAGGUCUUCGGGUUGUAAAGCACUUUUGGUUGGGAGGAAAAGCAGUAAGUUAAUACCUUGCUGUUUUGACGGUACCAACAGAAUAAGCACCGGCUAACUUCGUG